CCUACGGGUGGCAGCAGUGAGGAAUAUUGGUCAAUGGACGAGAGUCUGAACCAGCCAAGUAGCGUGAAGGAUGACUGCCCUAUGGGUUGUAAACUUCUUUUAUAAAGGAAUAAAACGAGGCACGUGGGCCUUGUUGCAUGGACGUUAUGAAUAAGGAUCGGCUAACUCCGUGCCAGCAGCCGCGGUAAUACGGAGGAGCCGAGCGUUAUCCGGAUUUAUUGGGUUUAAAGGGAGCGUAGAUGGGUUGUUAAGUCAGUUGUGAAAGUUUGCGGCUCAACCGUAAAAUUGCAAUUGAUACUGGCAGUCUUGCGUACAGUUGAGUUAGGCGGAAUUCGUGGUGUAGCUGUUACAUGCUUAGCUAUCACG
This 366-nucleotide ribosomal RNA is filed under the name uncultured bacterium. RNAcentral's name for it is "partial 16S ribosomal RNA". It matches the Rfam family "Bacterial small subunit ribosomal RNA", at positions 338 to 701 of the family's 1533-position model. The record is from RNAcentral.